CAGUACCGCGGUAAUACGAAGGGUGCAAGCGUUACUCGGAAUUACUGGGCGUAAAGCGUGCGUAGGUGGUGGUUUAAGUCCGUUGUGAAAGCCCUGGGCUCAACCUGGGAAUUGCAGUGGAUACUGGGUCACUAGAGUGUGGUAGAGGAUAGUGGAAUUUCCGGUGUAGCAGUGAAAUGCGUAGAGAUCGGAAGGAACAUCUGUGGCGAAGGCGACUAUCUGGGCCAACACUGACACUGAGGCACGAAAGCGUGGGGAGCAAACAGGAUUAGAUACCCCCGUAGUCCCUGUCUCUUAUACA
RNAcentral lists this ribosomal RNA (301 nucleotides) under uncultured bacterium. RNAcentral's name for it is "partial 16S ribosomal RNA". It matches the Rfam family "Bacterial small subunit ribosomal RNA", at positions 509 to 808 of the family's 1533-position model. The record is from RNAcentral.